This is a long non-coding RNA of Toxorhynchites rutilus septentrionalis, 1275 nucleotides long. RefSeq lists it as uncharacterized. The record is from RefSeq and is a predicted model, not a curated record. The transcript has 2 exons. Lineage: Eukaryota; Metazoa; Arthropoda; Insecta; Diptera; Culicidae.
GUUGAACUCAGCUCCGUCGAGUGUUUUCUUCAUUCUGCACAAUCCGAAAGGCCCUCCAGUCGUGCAAUCUCAGACUUGUGAUAGGUACUUUUUGAUCAAGUCUUGGCGUGGAAUAAAUCCUCUAUCCUUCGCGGAAGAUCCACAGUGCAGUAACAUUAGCCUAAUUACCGAGUUGUUAAUUGAGUUGAACGUCACUACCUUCCGAUAUUGAUUUAUUCGCAGAAGAAGGUCGAAUUAAUCCCGAUUCGGGAUAGCAAUGAUUCGAGCUCGUCUGCUGCGGAGAAUGCGGAGACAUUACAUCAAUAAUAAGGAAUCUGGAUACUUCGAGACACAAAAACGAGCCAUGUCGAGUCCUAGUUCUUCCUUUGCGCUGUUGGAUUUGGUCAAGAACAACUUCAUAAACGUUUUGCUGCGCGUCAAGUCAAUGUUGCAACAGGCAUAGAGCUGGCCUCACUCAAUUCCACAUGGGUUUCGUCAGCUUUGUGAUAUUUCCAGAAUGUGUUUGGCUAAGAAGUAAUUACACGCUGGUCCUGGGAGAGGAUAAUAGUGAGAAUCGAGUAGUCUGUCAUAGCUAUUUGUAGUAAUGAUUGUGUAUUUUUUCCUAAUUUGUAGCCGUGGCUUAGACCCAAUCGAGGCAGGAUCAGAUUUCGAUAGUUUAGAUAGUUCAAUAAAUAAUUCAAAUAGUUUAGAUAGUCCAAUAAAUUAAUAUGGAUGCAUACAAAAGCUCAAUAUAUUCAUAACAAUAUAUGUAUUAAAGCUGGGUUAACAUAACAUGUUCAGGGUUUAUGUUGAACCAACGUUGAACCGACUGCUUAUACUGGGUAAUACUGGCCGAUUUUAUAUUUGUUUACUAUUGUUAUCGCGUACUAUGUACGAAGAAUUCGUAUUGCAAACAUUUACUAAAUAUAGAUAUUUAUCAAAAAGCUUGUCAUAUAUACCAACUUUUCGGAAGAGUGUAUGAUCGGCGAUUAUGAUGAGCACGAGUAAUCGCUCUGUUUACACAAACGAGAGCGUGAAGUGUAAACCAGAAAAACAUCGGUGGAUGAACUCUGUGUAUUCAUAAUGAAUUCUACCAAAAAUUUUACAGUGGCGUGCAAUCCGGAAUAAGGUUCUACUCACUCCAAAUUGUUUUCACGUGUAGUGUAUUCGGUAAUAAGACCCUAUGUGUUUCCAUAUACACGUGUACAAUGACGCGUCGUUGUAAUGGAUGCUCAAUUUUUUUUUUCAGGAAAAAAUGAAUAAAACGCAUUUCACAUUGGCGAUCUAACGUACAAA